GGUCCCAUCGUCCAGCGGUCUAGGACAUCGCCCUUUCAAGGCGGCGACACGGGUUCGAACCCCGUUGGGACCGCCA
Molecule: transfer RNA, 76 nt
Filed under: Synergistaceae bacterium
Lineage: Bacteria; Thermotogati; Synergistota; Synergistia; Synergistales; Synergistaceae
Description: tRNA-Glu
Rfam family: tRNA
About the family: Transfer RNA (tRNA) molecules are approximately 80 nucleotides in length. Their secondary structure includes four short double-helical elements and three loops (D, anti-codon, and T loops). Further hydrogen bonds mediate the characteristic L-shaped molecular structure. tRNAs have two regions of fundamental functional importance: the anti-codon, which is responsible for specific mRNA codon recognition, and the 3' end, to which the tRNAs corresponding amino acid is attached (by aminoacyl-tRNA synthetases). tRNAs cope with the degeneracy of the genetic code in two manners: having more than one tRNA (with a specific anti-codon) for a particular amino acid; and 'wobble' base-pairing, i.e. permitting non-standard base-pairing at the 3rd anti-codon position.
Source: RNAcentral